Molecule: ribosomal RNA, 111 nt
Filed under: Nannospalax galili (Upper Galilee mountains blind mole rat)
Lineage: Eukaryota; Metazoa; Chordata; Mammalia; Rodentia; Spalacidae
Source: RNAcentral
GUCUACUGCCACACCACCCUGAAAACACACUUGAUCCCCUCUGAUCUCUGAAGCUAAGCAGGGCCGGGCCUGGUUAGUUCUUGGAUGGGAGAACCCACAGUUUCUUAGGCU